This 232-nucleotide ribosomal RNA is filed under the name uncultured bacterium. RNAcentral describes it as "partial 16S ribosomal RNA". It matches the Rfam family "Bacterial small subunit ribosomal RNA", at positions 545 to 776 of the family's 1533-position model. The record is from RNAcentral.
CCGGAAUUAUUGGGCGUAAAGCGCGCGCAGGCGGUUCUUUAAGUUUGGUGUGAAAUCUUGCGGCUCAACCGCAAGCGGUCAUUGGAAACUGGGGGACUUGAGUGCAGAAGAGGAAAGCGGAAUUCCACGUGUAGCGGUGAAAUGCGUAGAGAUGUGGAGGAACACCAGUGGCGAAGGCGGCUUUCUGGUCUGUAACUGACGCUGAGGCGCGAAAGCGUGGGGAGCAAACAGG